UAAUACGUAGGUGGCGAGCGUUAUCCGGAUUUAUUGGGUUUAAAGGGAGCGUAGGCGGCUGAUUAAGUCAGCGGUGAAAGGUAGCAGCUUAACUGUUUUACAUGCCGUUGAUACUGGUUAGCUUGAGUUGACAGAAGGCAGAUAGAAUUCCUGAUGUAGCGGUGAAAUGCUUAGAUAUCAGGAGGAAUACCGAUUGCGAAGGCAGUCUGCUGCAGUCACACUGACGCUGAGGCUCGAAGGUGCGGGGAUCAAACAGG
RNAcentral lists this ribosomal RNA (257 nucleotides) under uncultured bacterium. RNAcentral describes it as "partial 16S ribosomal RNA". It matches the Rfam family "Bacterial small subunit ribosomal RNA", at positions 521 to 776 of the family's 1533-position model. The record is from RNAcentral.